UACGUAGGGGGCGAGCGUUGUCCGGAUUUAUUGGGCGUAAAGAGCUCGUAGGCGGUUUGUCGCGUCGGAUGUGAAAACCCAGGGCUCAACCCUGGGCCUGCAUUCGAUACGGGCUAGCUAGAGUGUGGUAGGGGAGAUCGGAAUUCCUGGUGUAGCGGUGAAAUGCGCAGAUAUCAGGAGGAACACCGGUGGCGAAGGCGGAUCUCUGGGCCAUUACUGACGCUGAGGAGCGAAAGCGUGGGGAGCGAACAGG
Molecule: ribosomal RNA, 253 nt
Filed under: uncultured bacterium
Lineage: Bacteria
Description: partial 16S ribosomal RNA
Rfam family: Bacterial small subunit ribosomal RNA
Source: RNAcentral